AUACGUAGGGGGCGAGCGUUGUCCGGCAUGAUUGGGCGUAAAGGGCGCGUAGGCGGCUUUGCAAGUCAGUAGUGGAAGUCCAUUUUUCAAGGAUGGAAGUGCUACAGAAACUGCGGAGCUUGAGUGCAGGAGAGGUUAUCGGAAUUCCCGGUGUAGCGGUGAAAUGCGUAGAGAUCGGGAGGAACACCAGUGGCGAAGGCGGGUAACUGGACUGCAACUGACGCUGAGGCGCGAAAGUGUGGGGAGCAAACAGGAUUAGAUACCCUGGUAGUCCACACUGUAAACGAUGAAUGCUAGGUGUAGGAGGUAUCGACCCCUUCUGUGCCGCAGUAAACACAGUAAGCAUUCCGCCUGGGGAGUACGGUCGCAAGAUUAAAACUCAAAUGAAUUGACGGGG
RNAcentral lists this ribosomal RNA (397 nucleotides) under uncultured bacterium. RNAcentral's name for it is "partial 16S ribosomal RNA". It matches the Rfam family "Bacterial small subunit ribosomal RNA", at positions 523 to 918 of the family's 1533-position model. The record is from RNAcentral.